Molecule: ribosomal RNA, 2901 nt
Filed under: Klebsiella pneumoniae
Lineage: Bacteria; Pseudomonadati; Pseudomonadota; Gammaproteobacteria; Enterobacterales; Enterobacteriaceae
Description: bacterial LSU rRNA
Rfam family: Bacterial large subunit ribosomal RNA
Source: RNAcentral
UUAAGCGACUAAGCGUACACGGUGGAUGCCCUGGCAGUCAGAGGCGAUGAAGGACGUGCUAAUCUGCGAAAAGCGUCGGUAAGGUGAUAUGAACCGUUAUAACCGGCGAUGUCCGAAUGGGGAAACCCAGUGCAAUUCGUUGCACUAUCGUUAACUGAAUACAUAGGUUAACGAGGCGAACCGGGGGAACUGAAACAUCUAAGUACCCCGAGGAAAAGAAAUCAACCGAGAUUCCCCCAGUAGCGGCGAGCGAACGGGGAGCAGCCCAGAGUCUGAAUCAGCUUGUGUGUUAGUGGAACGGUCUGGAAAGUCCGACGGUACAGGGUGAUAGUCCCGUACACCAAAAUGCACAGGUUGUGAACUCGAAGAGUAGGGCGGGACACGUGGUAUCCUGUCUGAAUAUGGGGGGGACCAUCCUCCAAGGCUAAAUACUCCUGACUGACCGAUAGUGAACCAGUACCGUGAGGGAAAGGCGAAAAGAACCCCGGCGAGGGGAGUGAAAAAGAACCUGAAACCGUGUACGUACAAGCAGUGGGAGCACCUUCGGGUGUGACUGCGUACCUUUUGUAUAAUGGGUCAGCGACUUAUAUUCUGUAGCAAGGUUAACCGUAUAGGGGAGCCGCAGGGAAACCGAGUCUUAACUGGGCGUUAAGUUGCAGGGUAUAGACCCGAAACCCGGUGAUCUAGCCAUGGGCAGGUUGAAGGUUGGGUAACACUAACUGGAGGACCGAACCGACUAAUGUUGAAAAAUUAGCGGAUGACUUGUGGCUGGGGGUGAAAGGCCAAUCAAACCGGGAGAUAGCUGGUUCUCCCCGAAAGCUAUUUAGGUAGCGCCUCGUGAACUCAUCUUCGGGGGUAGAGCACUGUUUCGGCUAGGGGGUCAUCCCGACUUACCAACCCGAUGCAAACUACGAAUACCGAAGAAUGUUAUCACGGGAGACACACGGCGGGUGCUAACGUCCGUCGUGAAGAGGGAAACAACCCAGACCGCCAGCUAAGGUCCCAAAGUCAUGGUUAAGUGGGAAACGAUGUGGGAAGGCACAGACAGCCAGGAUGUUGGCUUAGAAGCAGCCAUCAUUUAAAGAAAGCGUAAUAGCUCACUGGUCGAGUCGGCCUGCGCGGAAGAUGUAACGGGGCUAAACCAUGCACCGAAGCUGCGGCAGCGACACUAUGUGUUGUUGGGUAGGGGAGCGUUCUGUAAGCCUGCGAAGGUGUGCUGUGAGGCAUGCUGGAGGUAUCAGAAGUGCGAAUGCUGACAUAAGUAACGAUAAAGCGGGUGAAAAGCCCGCUCGCCGGAAGACCAAGGGUUCCUGUCCAACGUUAAUCGGGGCAGGGUGAGUCGACCCCUAAGGCGAGGCCGAAAGGCGUAGUCGAUGGGAAACAGGUUAAUAUUCCUGUACUUGGUGUUACUGCGAAGGGGGGACGGAGAAGGCUAUGUUAGCCGGGCGACGGUUGUCCCGGUUUAAGCAUGUAGGCUGGUUGUCCAGGCAAAUCCGGAUAAUCAAGGCUGAGGUGUGAUGACGAGGCACUACGGUGCUGAAGUAACAAAUGCCCUGCUUCCAGGAAAAGCCUCUAAGCAUCAGGUAACAUCAAAUCGUACCCCAAACCGACACAGGUGGUCAGGUAGAGAAUACCAAGGCGCUUGAGAGAACUCGGGUGAAGGAACUAGGCAAAAUGGUGCCGUAACUUCGGGAGAAGGCACGCUGGUGUGUAGGUGAAGUCCCUGCGGAUGGAGCUGAGACCAGUCGAAGAUACCAGCUGGCUGCAACUGUUUAUUAAAAACACAGCACUGUGCAAACACGAAAGUGGACGUAUACGGUGUGACGCCUGCCCGGUGCCGGAAGGUUAAUUGAUGGGGUUAUCCGUAAGGAGAAGCUCUUGAUCGAAGCCCCGGUAAACGGCGGCCGUAACUAUAACGGUCCUAAGGUAGCGAAAUUCCUUGUCGGGUAAGUUCCGACCUGCACGAAUGGCGUAAUGAUGGCCAGGCUGUCUCCACCCGAGACUCAGUGAAAUUGAACUCGCUGUGAAGAUGCAGUGUACCCGCGGCAAGACGGAAAGACCCCGUGAACCUUUACUAUAGCUUGACACUGAACAUUGAGCCUUGAUGUGUAGGAUAGGUGGGAGGCUUUGAAGCGUGGACGCCAGUCUGCGUGGAGCCAACCUUGAAAUACCACCCUUUAAUGUUUGAUGUUCUAACGUUGGCCCCUUACCGGGGUUGCGGACAGUGUCUGGUGGGUAGUUUGACUGGGGCGGUCUCCUCCCAAAGCGUAACGGAGGAGCACGAAGGUUAGCUAAUCCUGGUCGGACAUCAGGAGGUUAGUGCAAUGGCAUAAGCUAGCUUGACUGCGAGCGUGACGGCGCGAGCAGGUGCGAAAGCAGGUCAUAGUGAUCCGGUGGUUCUGAAUGGAAGGGCCAUCGCUCAACGGAUAAAAGGUACUCCGGGGAUAACAGGCUGAUACCGCCCAAGAGUUCAUAUCGACGGCGGUGUUUGGCACCUCGAUGUCGGCUCAUCACAUCCUGGGGCUGAAGUAGGUCCCAAGGGUAUGGCUGUUCGCCAUUUAAAGUGGUACGCGAGCUGGGUUUAGAACGUCGUGAGACAGUUCGGUCCCUAUCUGCCGUGGGCGCUGGAGAAUUGAGGGGGGCUGCUCCUAGUACGAGAGGACCGGAGUGGACGCAUCACUGGUGUUCGGGUUGUCAUGCCAAUGGCACUGCCCGGUAGCUAAAUGCGGAAGAGAUAAGUGCUGAAAGCAUCUAAGCACGAAACUUGCCCCGAGAUGAGUUCUCCCUGAGACUUUAAGUCUCCUGAAGGAACGUUGAAGACGACGACGUUGAUAGGCCGGGUGUGUAAGCGCAGCGAUGCGUUGAGCUAACCGGUACUAAUGAACCGUGAGGCUUAACCUU